CUUUAUUAAAAAAACAACAAAAAAAAAAAUCCAUCAGGGCUGAGAAGAAAGAGACCGAAAGGGGACGCAAGAUCCCAGGAGAGGAGAUGGAAAGUUCCCGGGACAAGCCAGGGCUUCGACCGAGGACAGGAUCCCAGGGAGCUGCACAGUGAAUAUACACCUGCCUGAACCAAGAUUAGAAUUCACCUUCACUGGGAAGGGCACCGUCACUUCUGCAGACAUCUAUCUGGCUUUAACAGGAGCAGAAGGUAUCCAUCAACCCUUCUUGAAUUUCCAAAGAAAAGGAGCCUAAAUCUGACUCCCAGGAAACACCUUCAACUCGCGCCCUUCCUCAGCUGUACCCACAACACCCAAGGCCCCACAAGGUCCACACCUAAACCUCUCUGUAAUGAAACUCAGGCUGUAAUCUGGAGGGCCUCUGGACCCCUAGCGGGUGGGGGAGCCCCCUCCUUGGGCGCAGUGGAGCUUAGUGAUGGAGUUCUGGAGAGCAGGCAGAGGAAGGGGGCUCCCACUCUACAAGAUGAGAUCUCCCAGUGA
This 537-nucleotide long non-coding RNA is filed under the name Bos indicus x Bos taurus (hybrid cattle). Its description in RNAcentral is "lncRNA (ENSBIXG00000013040.1)". Lineage: Eukaryota; Metazoa; Chordata; Mammalia; Artiodactyla; Bovidae. The record is from RNAcentral.